This is a small nuclear RNA of Manis pentadactyla (Chinese pangolin), 189 nucleotides long. RefSeq annotates it as U2 spliceosomal RNA. NCBI's taxonomy places the organism in Eukaryota, Metazoa, Chordata, Mammalia, Pholidota, Manidae. The record is from RefSeq and is a predicted model, not a curated record. The transcript has a single exon.
AUUGCUUCUUGGCCUUUUGGCUAAGAUCAAGUGUAGUAUCUGUUCUUAUCAGUUUAAUAUCUGAUACAUCCUCUAUCCGGGACAAUACAUCAAAUGGAUUUUGGAGCAGGAACAUAGAAUAGAGGCUUGCUUUGUCCCCUCCACACAUCGACCUAGUGUUGCAGUAUCUCUGGGAACAGUGUACCCCCU